CUUGAACUCACUUUGUAGCCCAGGCUGGCCUGAAACUCACAGCGAUCCUCCUGCCUCAGCCUCCUGAGUGCUGGGAU
RNAcentral lists this microRNA precursor (77 nucleotides) under Chinchilla lanigera (long-tailed chinchilla). RNAcentral describes it as "miRNA (ENSCLAG00000021019.1)". The record is from RNAcentral. Lineage: Eukaryota; Metazoa; Chordata; Mammalia; Rodentia; Chinchillidae.